RNAcentral lists this transfer RNA (86 nucleotides) under Actinomycetota bacterium. Its description in RNAcentral is "Actinobacteria bacterium tRNA-Ser". It matches the Rfam family "tRNA". From Rfam's summary of the family: Transfer RNA (tRNA) molecules are approximately 80 nucleotides in length. Their secondary structure includes four short double-helical elements and three loops (D, anti-codon, and T loops). Lineage: Bacteria; Bacillati; Actinomycetota. The record is from RNAcentral.
GGAGGGCUCGCAUAGCGGCCGAGUGCACCGGUCUUGAAAACCGGCAGACGAAAGUCUCGAGGGUUCAAAUCCCUCGCCCUCCGCCA